This 253-nucleotide ribosomal RNA is filed under the name uncultured bacterium. RNAcentral describes it as "partial 16S ribosomal RNA". It matches the Rfam family "Bacterial small subunit ribosomal RNA", at positions 524 to 776 of the family's 1533-position model. The record is from RNAcentral.
UACGGAGGGUGCAAGCGUUAUCCGGAUUUAUUGGGUUUAAAGGGUGAGUAGGCGGAAUUAUAAGUCAGUGGUGAAAUCUUGCAGCUUAACUGUAAAACUGCCAUUGAUACUGUUAUUCUUGAAUAUAGUUGAGGUAGGUGGAAUGUGUAAUGUAGCGGUGAAAUGCUUAGAUAUUACACAGAACCCCGAUUGCGAAGGCAGCUUACCAAACUAUCAUUGACGCUGAGGCACGAAAGCGUGGGGAUCAAACAGG